Molecule: ribosomal RNA, 622 nt
Filed under: uncultured bacterium
Lineage: Bacteria
Description: bacterial SSU rRNA
Rfam family: Bacterial small subunit ribosomal RNA
Source: RNAcentral
CCUACGGGAGGCAGCAGUGGGGAAUUUUGGACAAUGGGCGAAAGCCUGAUCCAGCAAUGCCGCGUGAGUGAAGAAGGCCUUCGGGUUGUAAAGCUCUUUUGUCAGGGAAGAAACGGUGAGAGCUAAUAUCUUUUGCUAAUGACGGUACCUGAAGAAUAAGCACCGGCUAACUACGUGCCAGCAGCCGCGGUAAUACGUAGGGUGCAAGCGUUAAUCGGAAUUACUGGGCGUAAAGCGUGCGCAGGCGGUUUUGUAAGUCUGAUGUGAAAUCCCCGGGCCCAACCUGGGAAUUGCAUUGGAGACUGCAAGGCUAGAAUCUGGCAGAGGGGGGUAGAAUUCCACGUGUAGCAGUGAAAUGCGUAGAUAUGUGGAGGAACACCGAUGGCGAAGGCAGCCCCCUGGGUCAAGAUUGACGCUCAUGCACGAAAGCGUGGGGAGCAAACAGGAUUAGAUACCCUGGUAGUCCACGCCCUAAACCGAUGUCUACUAGUUGUCGGGUCUUAAUUGACUUGGUAACGCAGCUAACGCGUGAAGUAGACCGCCUGGGGAGUACGGUCGCAAGNUUAAAACGUCAAAUGAAUUGACCGGNUGAGAGNGCGACGGACGACGACGAGGGAGGAGG